AGCUCAGCAUUGGGUAUAAAGCGUGCGCAGGCGGUUUUGUAAGACAGAGGUGAAAUCCCCGGGCUCAACCUGGGAACUGCCUUUGUGACUGCAAGGCUGGAGUGCGGCAGAGGGGGAUGGAAUUCCGCGUGUAGCAGUGAAAUGCGUAGAUAUGCGGAGGAACACCGAUGGCGAAGGCAAUCCCCUGGGCCUGCACUGACGCUCAUGCACGAAAGCGUGGGGAGCAAACA
This 230-nucleotide ribosomal RNA is filed under the name uncultured Alicycliphilus sp. Its description in RNAcentral is "partial 16S ribosomal RNA". It matches the Rfam family "Bacterial small subunit ribosomal RNA", at positions 553 to 774 of the family's 1533-position model. The record is from RNAcentral. Lineage: Bacteria; Pseudomonadati; Pseudomonadota; Betaproteobacteria; Burkholderiales; Comamonadaceae.